AGGGAAUCUUCCGCAAUGGACGAAAGUCUGACGGAGCAACGCCGCGUGAGUGAUGAAGGUCUUCGGAUCGUAAAACUCUGUUAUCAGGGAAGAACAAGUAUCGGAGUAACUGCCGGUACCUUGACGGUACCUGACCAGAAAGCCACGGCUAACUACGUGCCAGCAGCCGCGGUAAUACGUAGGUGGCAAGCGUUGUCCGGAAUUAUUGGGCGUAAAGCGCGCGCAGGCGGUCUCUUAAGUCUGAUGUGAAAUCUCGUGGCUCAACCACGAACGGUCAUUGGAAACUGGGGGACUUGAGUGCAGAAGAGAAGAGCGGAAUUCCACGUGUAGCGGUGAAAUGCGUAGAGAUGUGGAGGAACACCAGUGGCGAAGGCGGCUCUUUGGUCUGUAACUGACGCUGAGGCGCGAAAGCGUGGGGAGCGAAC
RNAcentral lists this ribosomal RNA (425 nucleotides) under uncultured bacterium. RNAcentral describes it as "bacterial SSU rRNA". It matches the Rfam family "Bacterial small subunit ribosomal RNA", at positions 356 to 773 of the family's 1533-position model. The record is from RNAcentral.